UACGGAGGAUCCAAGCGUUAUCCGGAAACAUUGGGCUUAAAGGGUACGUAGGCGAGUUAAUAAGUCAGUGGUGAAAGUCUGCAGCUCAACUGUAGAAUUGCCAUUGAUACUGUUAACAUUGAGUAAUUAUGAAGUGGUUAGAAUAUGUAGUGUAGCGGUGAAAUGCAUAGAAAUUACUUAGAAUACCGAUUGCGAAGGCAGAUCACUAAUAAUUUACUGACGCUGAGGGACGAAAGCGUAGGUAGCGAACAGG
RNAcentral lists this unclassified non-coding RNA (253 nucleotides) under uncultured Flavobacteriaceae bacterium. Its description in RNAcentral is "contains 16S-23S intergenic spacer region". It matches the Rfam family "Bacterial small subunit ribosomal RNA", at positions 524 to 776 of the family's 1533-position model. Lineage: Bacteria; Pseudomonadati; Bacteroidota; Flavobacteriia; Flavobacteriales; Flavobacteriaceae. The record is from RNAcentral.